RNAcentral lists this ribosomal RNA (1965 nucleotides) under human oral metagenome. RNAcentral's name for it is "bacterial LSU rRNA". It matches the Rfam family "Bacterial large subunit ribosomal RNA", at positions 1134 to 2925 of the family's 2925-position model. The record is from RNAcentral.
GUAAUAGCUCACUGGUCAAGUGGUUCUGCGCCGACAAUGUAGCGGGGCUCAAGCGCACCGCCGAAGCCGUGGCAGCAGCGCUUUUCGCCCUCCUCCCCCCUGUUGGAUGGGGUGGUGGGUGCGCUGCUGGGUAGGGGAGCGUCCUGCGCGGGGCGAAGCCCGGGGGUGACCCCUGGUGGACCGCGUGGGAGUGAGAAUGCAGGCAUGAGUAACGAAUUCUGCGGUGGGAAUCCGCAGCGCCGAUUGACUAAGGGUUCCAGGGCCAGGUUCAUCCGCCCUGGGUUAGUCGGGUCCUAAGGCGAGGCCGACAGGCGUAGUCGAUGGUCGACCAGUUGAUAUUCUGGUACCGCGCGGCGACCGCCAGUGCCGAUACCGCUGUGCUAACCGCCCGCACCGCCCCCUCCUGCGCUUUCGGGCGCGGGGGCGGGGGGUGUCGCGGGGCCCCGGUGGUGGAGGCAAGCGUGUUGACAGGGGUGACGCAGGAAGGUAGCCGCAAUGCGCCGGUGGUUGUGCGUAUUCAAGGCUGUGGCCCGUCCCCCAGGCAAAUCCGGGGGGCAUGUGGGUGAGGGCUGAGGAGGGACACACGCGUGUGUGGACUUGUGGUGAUCCUAUGCUGCCGAGAAAAACCCCGACGUGAGGGCGCCGCGCGCCCGUACCCCAAACCGACUCAGGUGGUCAGGUAGAGCAUACCGAGGCGUUCGAGUGAAUCAUGGUUAAGGAACUCGGCAAAAUUCCUCCGUAACUUCGGGAUAAGGAGGACCCCGUGACUUCCCCGCGCCUUGCGCGGGGGUGGGGUUGUGGGGUCGCAGAGAAUAGGGAGAAGCGACUGUUUAUCAAAAACACAGGUGCGUGCGAAGCCGUAAGGCGAUGUAUACGCACUGACGCCUGCCCGGUGCUGGAAGGUUAAGAGGAACCGUCAACACCCCCCGGGGUGUGAAGCGGUGAAUUUAAGCCCCAGUAAACGGCGGUGGUAACUAUAACCAUCCUAAGGUAGCGAAAUUCCUUGUCGGGUAAGUUCCGACCUGCACGAAUGGCGUAACGACUUCCCCGCUGUCUCAACCAUGAGCUCGGCGAAAUUGCAGUACGAGUAAAGAUGCUCGUUUCGCGCAGAAGGACGGAAAGACCCCGGGACCUUUACUAUAGCUUGGUAUUGGUGUUCGCUUGGACUUGUGUAGGAUAGGUGGGAGACUGUGAAGCUGCCGCGCCAGCGGUGGUGGAGUCGUCGUUGAAAUACCAUUCUGGUUCAAGCGGUCACCUCAACCUUGGCCCGUGAUCCGGGUUGGGGACAGUGCCUGGUGGGUAGUUUAACUGGGGCGGUUGCCUCCUAAAAUGUAACGGAGGCGCUCAAAGGUUCCCUCAGCCUGGUUGGUAAUCAGGUGGCGAGUGCAAGUGUACAAGGGAGCUUGACUGUGAGACCGACGGGUCGAGCAGGUGCGAAAGCAGGAACUAGUGAUCCGGCCAUGGCACGUGGGUGCGUGGUCGCUCAACGGAUAAAAGGUACCCCGGGGAUAACAGGCUGAUCUUGCCCAAGAGUCCAUAUCGACGGCAUGGUUUGGCACCUCGAUGUCGGCUCGUCGCAUCCUGGGGCUGGAGUAGGUCCCAAGGGUUGGGCUGUUCGCCCAUUAAAGCGGUACGCGAGCUGGGUUCAGAACGUCGUGAGACAGUUCGGUCCCUAUCCUCUGUGCGCGCAGGAAACUUGAGAAGGGCCGUCCCUAGUACGAGAGGACCGGGAUGGACGAACCUCUGGUGUGCCAGUUGUACCGCCAGGUGCAUGGCUGGUUGGCUACGUUCGGAAGGGAUAACCGCUGAAAGCAUCUAAGCGGGAAGCCUGCUUCAAGAUGAGGUUUCCACGCCCCCACGUGGGGUGAGAGGCCCCCGCCAGACUAGCGGGUUGAUAGGCCAGAGGUGGAAGCACCGCGAGGUGCUCGCGAGCCGACUGGUACUAAUGGGCCAACACUAAACAAC